GCUGGGUAUGGUGGCGUGUGCCUGUAGUCCCAGCUACUCAGGAGGCUGAGGCUGGAGGAUUGCUUGAGUCUAGGAGCUCUGGGCUGUAGUGCGCUAUGCCGAUCGGUUGUCCGCACUAAGUUUGGCAUCAAUAUGGUGACCUCCUGGGAGCGGGGGACAACCAGGUUGCCUAAGGAGUGGUGAACCGGCCCAGGUUGGAAACGGAGCAGGUCAAAACUCCCGUGAUGAUCAGUAGUGGGAUUGUGGCUGUGAAUAGCCACUGCACUCCAGCCUGGGCAGCAUAGCGAGGCCCCAUCUCUU
Callithrix jacchus (white-tufted-ear marmoset) is the source of this 300-nucleotide unclassified non-coding RNA. It matches the Rfam family "Metazoan signal recognition particle RNA". Rfam says of the family: The signal recognition particle (SRP) is a universally conserved ribonucleoprotein. Lineage: Eukaryota; Metazoa; Chordata; Mammalia; Primates; Cebidae. The record is from Ensembl.